Molecule: ribosomal RNA, 251 nt
Filed under: uncultured bacterium
Lineage: Bacteria
Description: partial 16S ribosomal RNA
Rfam family: Bacterial small subunit ribosomal RNA
Source: RNAcentral
CCUACGGGACGCAGCAGUGAGGAAUAUUGGUCAAUGGCCGAGAGGCUGAACCAGCCAAGUCGCGUGAGGGAUGACGGCCCUACGGGUUGUAAACCUCUUUUGUCGGGGAGCAAGACCCGCCACGAGUGGCGGAGCGAGAGUACCCGAAGAAAAAGCAUCGGCUAACUCCGUGCCAGCCGCCGCGGGAAUACGGAGGAUGCGAGCGUUAUCCGGAUUUAUUGGGUUUAAAGGGUGCGCCGGCGGCGAGUUAA